Non-coding RNA from Pantherophis guttatus, 879 nucleotides. The record is from RefSeq and is a predicted model, not a curated record. NCBI's taxonomy places the organism in Eukaryota, Metazoa, Chordata, Lepidosauria, Squamata, Colubridae.
GAGGGGGCGGCUCCCGUGGGUCACCUCAGGCCUCCGGGCCAGUCCGGGUCGCCCUUUCGUCUGAAGAGACGCGCCCGGCUCGCCUUCGCGUGUCGUGUGAAUCCCGAUGGUGGCUGACUCGAUUAAAGCUUGAGGAGAAGAAGAGCUGGCGAGUUUUGGGUGACUCUGUGGGAAACAGAGGCGGCGGCGGCUGCUGCUGCUGCCACCUGCUACCUCAGUAACGGUCAGGAGAGCUGGUGGCCUGUGAGGAAAAUACCCCCCCAGGGGCCUCUCAUCUCGCGGAGGGAGGAGGCCGAAGCUUGAGAGCUGUAGUCAAUUUAGCAAUUUACCUCCUGUCCAGCCAGCAGUUUGAAAGCAUGCAACAUUGCAAGUAGAUGAAUGGGUACCACUGGUGGGAAAAACUGAAACCUAGUUGCGUUCGUGUGUGCGGAGAACGGAAGCCGGCGCUGGACUUGGCCGGACACAAGGCGGCGUGACACAAGGCGAAGCGGGGCGAGACUGGCGGAAGAGCCUGGAAGAGCCAGCAAGCUGAGUGCCACUAUCAUAGUCAGCUGGUGUAAAGCUAGUUCACUUCCCACCAUGCACCAGGGAUAGGUGCAUAAGCAGUGAACAGAACGAACCAGCCAUUUAGGCUAUCAGGAGGGCCGCAUUGUGUGUCUAGCAUGUGUAGAUUUCCCUGACAGUGUAUGCCAUACACUAAAUCAAUAAAUCCCUUUCAGACUAUAACAUAAAUUUCCAUACUUUCAAUCUCAUAUUCUCUCAUUGUUCUAUUUGUACAUUAUAAUCAAAUUACCUUUUUAAUCAAGAUUGUAGCCAAUUUAAUUGUACAUUCUUUGACCUUUUUUCUUUUUCAAUUUCAAUAAAAGCUUAUACAUUUUA